Molecule: long non-coding RNA, 1278 nt
Organism: Myiozetetes cayanensis
Lineage: Eukaryota; Metazoa; Chordata; Aves; Passeriformes; Tyrannidae
Exons: 6
Source: RefSeq, a predicted model, not a curated record
CAGCCCUCAGCAAACACGGUCUGUGCAUCUUCCCUGCUCCUGCAGAAAGCUUGGAAGAGCUGAAAGCUUGGCCUCCAGAACCCGGGGAUGCAGAAGUGGCUAAUUGUACAUGGCAUCUUGCUGGACUUGAAUGGCACUGAGGAAAAGCAAGUGUGAUUCAGCUGAAGGCUAUGUGGGUUUGUCAGCAGUCACAAAAUCCCACUUGGACAGCACAGGAGUGUGAAAUGACGCUUCUUGGAAAAAUUUUUCUACUGGUGGGCUGACAAGGAUCCAUGACAGCUGUCCUGCUUCUGACCUGCUACAGCAUGGAUAUCUGGCUCUGUCUCUAUAGGACUGUUCUUCAUUCAACAGAUUCCUUUGCAGAUUCAAUCUUCCUGGUAUAGCAGUUUCUCACUAAAGGAGGAAGGGAACAACUGGGAAUUUUCUGAUGAUGGAGAAAAGCAGGUCCAAGCCACCAGAUGCAGAGGCUUCUGUGACGUAUUUUGGGAUUAAGUAGGAAAUUGUCUGAAGGGAAGAAGAUAUGGAGACAUUUCUAAGGUAGUCAAAAUUGGUGGAGUAGUCAUGACAAGGAUCAUUGAAGUGGAAUGAGGUUGGAGCACAAGCUUAACACCUUAAGUGAACUGGACCAUCCAUUACGCCAUUAGGUUUCUGAGCUGUUGUAUCUGUUUCAAAACCACAGCAAAAUUAUGGCUGAUCUCAGUAGCUCGGGAUUUAACCUGUUAAAUCAAAAUGAACUCAAAAUGUUUCAUUUUAGAAAUGGAAGAAGUGUAGCAAUUCAUAUAUAGCCCAGAUUUGUCCAAGGAAGAAGGGGAGAAACAAACAAAACGUUCAGAACAGAGGGCAGUAGUGAGAAUCAGGUAUGUUUAAGAACAGUCUUUAGGUUUUCAUAUCCCAGAGGACUGCUGGGGAAGUGGUCUCACAUAAUUGAGUGGAAAUGCCGUCUUUCCUGAAAUAGAUAGUCUUGAAAAAAUAUUUGCUUUGAAAAAUCCAUUUUCUGGGAAGGAAGUAGAGCAGAAAAAGAUUUUCACCUUAAAUCUUUGUAAACAGCUGUACUUUAAGAACUGAGUCUAAAUAUAAAAACACAUUUGAAGAUAGUGUGAGCAUGGGUGAAUAUUUUUUUUUUACCUUCACAAUAAUAGACUAGACUUUACAAUAAUUAUGCCCAUAAAUUUUGCUUCUAAAACUAUUGAAAAUUGCAUAUGAGUUUGAUACUAGAGUGAUUUGUUUUUCUAUUAACUUUUCAGGAGCCCAAAUAUUUUCCCAAUAAAUGUUUGAUAU